CUAAUCUUUGGUUUAACAGAUAUAACCGUCCAAAUAACAUCAAAUGACAAUGAUAUUAAGGCACCAUCAUUGCAGAGAAGUUGGUUACUCUGGAGAUAAGACAAAACAGUAGGACAUCCUAUCUAAAUCUGAUAUUAAACAGUGUUAGUCUGCCAAGAACAGUCAGAAGAAUAAUAGUUCAUAUCAAGUUUAGAUAGGAACAUCAUUAACG
This is a non-coding RNA of Pelobates cultripes (western spadefoot toad), 211 nucleotides long. The record is from the annotation of a GenBank genome assembly. NCBI's taxonomy places the organism in Eukaryota, Metazoa, Chordata, Amphibia, Anura, Pelobatidae.